UUUUGUAUCAAGUCAUAAAGGUAUAAAGUUAAAAUAGUGGUAAAAAAUUUAAGUGAAAUCAGAUUAGUAUAAAAAAAAAUUAUACUUAUGUAUAAAGAACAUUAUAGUGAAGUUGUGAAAAAUUUAAAAAUGGUGAUUUAUUCAAAUUCAACUAAAUUUAUAAAAAAGAAACCACGAUGAAUAAGAUUCUGAAUUUAAAUUUGAGCUCGUUAGAAAAAACAACGAAAUUGGAGUCACAAAAUUGCAGUGUCCAUUAGUUGGAGAAUAUACUACAAUUAGAUUGGUAAAAUCAGUGUUAAAAUUAUCGAAAAUGUAGAAAUAGCAAUUAAUAAGGCUAUAAAAAUGGCGAACAAAAGGCAGUAGAAAAUUUAAAUCGCACAUGUAUACGUGCACGUACUUCAACUAAAAAGUAUCUACUCUUAGUUACUCUUAAUUGUUAAAAAAAAAUCUUAAUACACACGUCAGCUACGUCUUAUUUCACAUAUUACGUAAUUACAAAGAAAUUUGGUCACCCGAUAUUCAAAGGAAAAUUUUCACUUUCAUGGAAUGAAGUUCUUGCAGUACAUACAUAUUGUAUAUAGGGUCGAUAUAUAGCUAUCAACAAAAGUAGUCUAGGAAGAUAUUAGAAUCAAAUGAUUGUUUUCGGCAGUACGUACGCAUACAUACCUACUUCUUGUUCGCUCGCUGUUGCAGUACAAUAUUUAAAUAUAAACGUCGUAUAAUGAAAUGGCAAUCACGUAUGGUGGCAUUGAUUUUAAUAGAUUUAACGAGAAGCGAUGUCAAAGUUUUGACAAGAGAUGAAAAAUAACCAACGUCGUAGAUCAUUUAUUUUUAUAUCUAAAUUAUUUAUAUAGAGCAUAAUAAUUUAUAUACAUAAUAUCAAAAUUUACGUUUUAAACGACAAAAUUUUUUUAGUAUAACAUGUUACAAUAUUAGUAUACAGUAAAAAAAAAAAGAUUAUAUAGUUUUCUAAUUUAAAUUUCGUCGUUUCUUUUCUAAUUUAUUGUAUAAAAUGAUGUAAAAAUCACAUAUAACCGCCUUUUAAUUUUCUUAUGUUACUUUAAAACAGUUUCGUUGUUAUAUUUUUUAUUUACUUGUUCUACUAUAAAUAACAAAAAACAAAAAAAAAAAUCUUUUUCAUCAUAGUGUAAAUUAAAUUUUGCUUGUAUUUACUUAAAAAAAAAGAUAUCAAAAAAAAAAAGAUCGAAAAAAAAAGAAAAAACCAGAAUAAGGAAAACAAAAUAAAUCAAAUUUGAAAUAUCAUA
Condylostylus longicornis is the source of this 1265-nucleotide long non-coding RNA. RefSeq lists it as uncharacterized. The record is from RefSeq and is a predicted model, not a curated record. The transcript is spliced from 2 exons. NCBI's taxonomy places the organism in Eukaryota, Metazoa, Arthropoda, Insecta, Diptera, Dolichopodidae.